GGCCCGCACAAGCGGUGGAGUAUGUGGUUUAAUUCGAUGCAACGCGAAGAACCUUACCAGGGUUUGACAUCCUGCGAAUUUGGUAGAGAUACCUUAGUGCCUUCGGGAACGCAGAGACAGGUGCUGCAUGGCUGUCGUCAGCUCGUGUUGUGAAAUGUUGGGUUAAGUCCCGUAACGAGCGCAACCCUUGUCCUUAUUUGCCAGCGCGUAAUGGCGGGAACUCUAAGGAGACUGCCGGUGACAAACCGGAGGAAGGUGGGACGACGUCAAGUCAUCAUGGCCCUUACGAGUAGGGCUACACACGUGCUACAAUGGUCGGUACAAAGGGUUUGCCAACUCGCGAGAGUGAGCCAAUCCCGAAAGCCGAUCUCAGUCGGA
RNAcentral lists this ribosomal RNA (378 nucleotides) under uncultured bacterium. Its description in RNAcentral is "bacterial SSU rRNA". It matches the Rfam family "Bacterial small subunit ribosomal RNA", at positions 918 to 1297 of the family's 1533-position model. The record is from RNAcentral.